AACGCUGGCGGCAGGCUUAACACAUGCAAGUCGAGCGGUAGCACAGGGGAGCUUGCUCCCUGGGUGACGAGCGGCGGACGGGUGAGUAAUGUCUGGGAAACUGCCUGAUGGAGGGGGAUAACUACUGGAAACGGUAGCUAAUACCGCAUAACGUCGCAAGACCAAAGAGGGGGACCUUCGGGCCUCUUGCCAUCAGAUGUGCCCAGAUGGGAUUAGCUAGUAGGUGGGGUAAUGGCUCACCUAGGCGACGAUCCCUAGCUGGUCUGAGAGGAUGACCAGCCACACUGGAACUGAGACACGGUCCAGACUCCUACGGGAGGCAGCAGUGGGGAAUAUUGCACAAUGGGCGCAAGCCUGAUGCAGCCAUGCCGCGUGUGUGAAGAAGGCCUUCGGGUUGUAAAGCACUUUCAGCGAGGAGGAAGGUGGUGAGCUUAAUACGCUCAUC
Molecule: ribosomal RNA, 445 nt
Filed under: uncultured bacterium
Lineage: Bacteria
Description: bacterial SSU rRNA
Rfam family: Bacterial small subunit ribosomal RNA
Source: RNAcentral